This 891-nucleotide ribosomal RNA is filed under the name uncultured fungus. RNAcentral's name for it is "eukaryotic LSU rRNA". The stretch from base 680 to 891 matches the Rfam family "Eukaryotic large subunit ribosomal RNA", at positions 1 to 211 of the family's 3401-position model. The record is from RNAcentral. Lineage: Eukaryota; Fungi.
GCUUAGUGAGGCUUCCGGACUGGCCCAGAGAGGUCGGCAACGAUCACCGCCGGAUGAAAAGCUAGUCAAACUUGGUCAUUUAGAGGAAGUAAAAGUCGUAACAAGGUUUCCGUAGGUGAACCUGCGGAAGGAUCAUUAACAUGUUGGAGUGGCCUUCGGGCCGCGACCUCCAUAAACCCACCUCUGCGUACCUUCUCCUGUUGCUCCGCGAGCCAUCGAGGUUAACCGCCUCGGACGCCGGCCGCGAUGCUCUGGCAGUUGUCGCCGGCGGAGCGCCCGCGGGAGGUCUCCCAAACGAAACUCAAUUGUAAUACAUAUCAUCUGUCUGACUGUACAUAAUAAUAAAAGUUAAAACUUUCAACAACGGAUCUCUUGGUUCUCGCAUCGAUGAAGAACGCAGCGAAAUGCGAUAAGUAGUGUGAAUUGCAGAAUUCCGUGAAUCAUCGAAUCUUUGAACGCACAUUGCGCCUCCUGGUACUCCGGGAGGCAUGCCUGUCCGAGCGUCAUUAUAACCCUCUCGAGCUUAAUUGCUUGGUGUUGGGGCAGGACCGUCCACCCGCGUCGGUCCGCCUCGAAUUCCAAUGGCAGACGAUGGUGUCCACGUCAGCGUAGUGAGCAUUUUUGCGUCGCGAAGCGUAGUCACCCGUCCCGCCCACAUAAACCCUUCAACUCUAAGUGUUGACCUCGGAUCAGGUAGGGAUACCCGCUGAACUUAAGCAUAUCAAUAAGCGGAGGAAAAGAAACCAACAGGGAUUGCCUCAGUAACUGCGAGUGAAGCGGCAAGAGCUCAAAUUUGAAAUCUGGCGUCUUUGGGCGUCCGAGUUGUAAUUUGGAGAGGCAUCUUCGGAGAUGGGGCCGUCCUAAGUUCCUUGGAACAGGACGUCAUAGAGG